CCCCCCCCCGGCUCCCCCCCUACCCGAAGCCGCGGAGUCCCCUCCUCCCGGGAGCUGCGGCCCGUCCCCGGGGGGAGCCGGGGGAGCGGGGCCGGGGGGCUCGGCCCGGCCCGCGGCAAACUUCGGCGGGGAGCGGCGGGCCUUGCCCCGGGGCCGGCCGGGGGAGAAGCCAGCGGAGUUUGGGGAGCGAAGAAGCGGCCAGGGCACGGGAGGAGAAGCCGCAGGAGCGGAGCGGGGCGGGGGGAAGAGGAGGGCGGCGGGACCCCGCAGCUUUCCGCGCGGGCUUCUCUCGCACGCCAGCCCGGAGCCCCCCCCUCCCUCCCCCGGUGGCGCUCCGAGCCCUGCCCGCAGCGACAGUCUCUUAACGAAAGCGAAACGCGGGGCUGCCGGCGGCGGGCUGGCACCGGGCGGAGCGGGGGGGAGCACCGAGGAGCGGCUGGAGUUGGGAGGAUGCGGCAGCGGCGGCUGGAACUUCGCCGUUAAACACCGGGAGAGAGGCAGAGGCUGCCGGCGCGGGGAGGGAUGAGGUUGCGGUAGAAAUAAGCUCCGGAGGCGAACGGGCGUUGGGGAGCAAAGUGCGGCGGAGAAAGGAGUGCGAAGGGGGAUAACCGUGCCCGGGACGGAGGCGGAGAGACCGAGCGGCGGGCGGCCCCGCGGGAGGAGAGAGCGGGACGGGAGGCGCGGGGGGGACGGAGGGGCUGCCCGCCGCCGUCAGGGAGAUCGGAAGGCGCGGAGCUGCCGCCGCCCGGGGGAGCGGGGGAACGGGGACCUGUUGGCGGGGCGAGCCCCGGCGUGGGACGGUUCCGGCGUCCCGCCCGCAGCCCCGCCGGACACCGAGAGGGGCCAGCGCGGCCGUGCCCCUCACCGCGGCACCCGGGGAUGCGCCCGCUGGCUGCCGGCGGGGGGGGAUAUGGCAGUGCUGGGUGACUUUCCGGGGGGAGCCAGCCGCAGGUGACAAUAGCUCCCGGCUUUGGGGCUCACGCCGCCGUCCAGGGCUGGCUGCCGUACCCGGGCGUACGUACCUUCCUGCGCGGAACGUAUAGAUAUAAACAGGCGUGUGUGUGUGUGUGCGUGUACCGGGGAGAGAGAUAUUUAUGUAUGGGGCUUGAUUUAUAUCUAAUAGCACGUAUAAAGCUUUUCAAGGUGGCUGCAAUGUAAAAAGUAAUGACUUUAUUACCCCUGAAAGGUUCUGCGGUUCACAGUUAACAGUCCUCUGAAUUACAAUUCAUUACACAGUUGCGCGCUCUCUGAAGCCAACCUGCAUCAGGAUACCUAUCUGUGGUUAUUCCCGAUAAAUAACAGGCAACAUUUCAUUGAUUCGCUUUAAAAAAUCAUAGCAAAUUAAGCCCUUAGUUACAACUAAAUCUGGUUUAUUAUCGUACCGUGUUCGAGAUUCCAGAGGUGACUUCCCAGACCGCAUCUUAAAACCUACAGUCAGGAGCUAAUUUUACAGAUGCUUUCAUGAAUGGCAGCGAGGAUGUUCCUACCAUUAGCGUGCCCUUAAUUCCAGCACCGUAAAACGCCUCGAAUUAAAUGGAAACUCGCUGCCUUAAAAACAAUAUUUCAUCCUGGCUGGAUAAUUAUUAAUGUUAGCAUUUGAUCGCAAUGCUGCUGUGCUCCCCCCGUCCCGUCCCCCCCCCCCGUCCCCGUCCCCCCCAGCGCUUCGCAUUGUCAUGUGAUUGGAGGGAGAUAACAAACCUCAAGAAAGAAAAGGAGUCAGAAGACAUUUUUAACACGGCAUAACCGCAGAUUAAUAAUGCAGGGAUUAAAAGUUUGAUUCUGCUUCCCACACCAUACUCUGGAAACCGUCCCUAAUAGAGAGCUAGCCUGAGAUCCGUGCCUGCCUUCGGACAUCAAAAUAUGGCAGCUCAGCUAACCGCCCCGAACGCUCUCCUCCCAUCAGCUACAGAUCAGAAGGGAAAGCAUUUCUGGAGUGCAGGGAGACAUUCAAACCAAAGGGACAGAUUUGGGCACGUGGAGGACGUGAACUGGAAGAUCUUGACUUGGAGUGAGUUUCGCAAGGAGCACGAGGACAGGAGAGCUGUGAAUUGUUACAGUUCCAUCCCACAGGACAAGCACGUGUUGGAUGGUAAUUCUGCAAUGCAGAAAUUGUCUUCAUCUGCCUAAUGCCUGAUGCUUUCUCCUCCCCGAAAGACUGACUUGUUAAAAGCACUGCUUAAAAAUAAUUAACAACACAAGGCGCCGCUUUUCUGCUCCCUUGGAAAUUAGCAGGAGUAAGGGAAGAGGGAAUCUAAAACUUAACAAUAGGAGAGGGAGGUACAAUGGCUUGAAAGUGGCCUGCACCCCUCACAUUUUAAUUUCCACCAAUGCCCCCGGCGAGGCUGGGCACAGCAAACCGCCUCGAGAUUGACAUGCGAAGCGUGUGAGCUCAUUGCAAUAGCUGUACCAUAGCGCACGCCUAGGUGUUCUACACCUCACAUACAGAUCACCCUGCAGGAUUAAGAUUCAAAUCACCUGUCCUUCGUCGCUAAUAAAAUUGAAAUAUAUUAGGGGAAGUUUGAAUACAGUGGCUUGACAGAGCAUGUCAUGUCUCGCACGUGAAAAACGCCACGACUGCACAAUCAAAAAGUAGCUGCCCGUUUUUGUAGCAUAAGAUUUUUUCUCUUUCAAAGGGCAAAAUGCGUACUUUGAGAUGAGCUAAGCCCAAACCCUAAACUCCUACAGCCCCUAAGAGUGCAGCGUGAGACCAACUCAGAACACCGUACUAUGCUGAGGGGGGAAAAAAAAAAAAAAGUUUGUUUUUAUGAGACUGACAGAUUUUGUUUUCCUUUUCGAGUGUGCAGAAGGUAAGCAAAGCAUGAGAAGCAGUGCUGUACUUCAAGCGGUCCUUCCCCAAUUAAGAAGUUGCCACCGCAGAACACCACCCUACCGUAGAAGUUACCGAUAUUGUCAUAUUAAGGGUUUGUCAGUGUUUCCAUUCUAAACCUAAGCCACUCUUAGCCUUAGGCCUAGACCCUACUAAGGCUUUCUGGCAAACAGCGUAUCAGCCAGGUAGAUGAACACAUCUCCCGAGAGCUGACGAGGCUGGUGGCAUUUUCAGCCUGUCCUGAGCUUGCUUUUUCAGGAAAGCAGGAAGCCAGGCAGACUUUAGGAUGGAAAGCAUGUAGGACAGUGCCUCUGUGUCACAAAGUAAUCCACAACAGACAUCUGAUAAGCCGUAUGCCACUCCAAGCGAGACACAAACAAAGCACAGGGACUGUCAUUAAGGAACCACACACAACAGGUUAUUUUGUUCUGCUUACAGUAUUGACACAAGGGUGGACAUCACAAGCUCCUAACCAGUGCUCCAUCUCUGCUGGAAACUGCGUCUGUCCCUCCCCUAACUGAAGGGAUAGAACCGAUUCAAAAAGGUGCGUUAAAGCUCUAGGUGCUGCAGUCAGAAACGUUUGUAAAGCCUAUUUGGUGUGGAUUCAUGAAAUAGACAGCAACAGCUCCAAAAAUUGCCUCCCCUUCUGAGGAGGAUGCUUUAAGAAGUUGCCAAGAGCCCGAUCCCAAGUAGCCUCUGGGAAAAUGCCCAGGGAGGUACAUCAAAUAUGUCUCCAAAUCUGCCGCCUCAACGGGUGGCUCUAAUAUUGGUUUCUGUGAAGAGGCACAGACUCUGGGCCGCCCUCUUCCCCCUGAGCUCGUCCUUCCUGAGAUAAGGCUGGUAGCAGAGGGAGAUAGAGGAGGAAAACUUAAUGUGCCACUGCUUGUGCCAUACCUGUUCUGCAGAUAGCGUGAGGACUUUGGUCCUCAGGACUGUCCAUCUGGCACCAUUCCUGAGCAAUAAAAGCUCACCUGCAAAGUAUUUUAAAGCAAACAGUUGGUGUAAUGAAUACCUCGAUACUCCUGUAGCUAGACAACGCUACCACAAAUAGCAGUUACUCCAAAAACACCCGGUCAGUGAAAAGAGCCCAAGUUCACGUCCCAGCUCCUUCGGCCAGUGGAAGACAGGACCUGGUCACAGGGGGGUGUCUCCUUGUGUCCAUUCCCCGUGGCUAAUCCGAGCACACCAGCACGCUUUCCAAAAGAGGUGGUGUUUAAGCAACCCUUGAACCUAGUGAAAAGGUGAGCUGGCCACCAGCGCGGUCUCAGGAAGUAAAUGGAAGUGUGUGCACAGGGUGUGGGGUCAGGCAUCAAGUACUCUUAAAAAAAAAAAAAAAAAGGAAAAA
This is a long non-coding RNA of Chroicocephalus ridibundus (black-headed gull), 4172 nucleotides long. RefSeq lists it as uncharacterized. The record is from RefSeq and is a predicted model, not a curated record. The transcript is spliced from 3 exons. Lineage: Eukaryota; Metazoa; Chordata; Aves; Charadriiformes; Laridae.